CGGAGAGCUUGCUCUCUGGUGGCGAGUGGCGAACGGGUGAGUAAUAUAUCGGAACGUGUCCAAUAAUGGGGGAUAACGAGUCGAAAGAUUCGCUAAUACCGCAUACGCCCUACGGGGGAAAGCAGGGGAUCGUAAGACCUUGCGUUAAUGGAGCGGCCGAUAUCUGAUUAGCUUGUUGGUGAGGUAAAGGCUCACCAAGGCGACGAUCAGUAGCUGGUUUGAGAGAACGACCAGCCACACUGGAACUGAGACACGGUCCAGACUCCUACGGGAGGCAGCAGUGGGGAAUUUUGGACAAUGGGGGCAACCCUGAUCCAGCCAUUCCGCGUGAGUGAAGAAGGCCUUCGGGUUGUAAAGCUCUUUCGCAAGGGAAGAAAACUUAUGAUCGAAUAAAUCAUGAGGUUGACGGUACCUUGAUAAGAAGCACCGGCUAACUACGUGCCAGCAGCCGCGGUAAUACGUAGGGUGCGAGCGUUAAUCGGAAUUACUGGGCGUAAAGCGUGCGCAGGCGGUUUUGUAAGUCGGAUGUGAAAUCCCCGGGCUCAACCUGGGAACUGCGUUCGAAACUGCAAGGCUAGAGUGUGUCAGAGGGGGGUAGAAUUCCACGUGUAGCAGUGAAAUGCGUAGAGAUGUGGAGGAAUACCAAUGGCGAAGGCAGCCCCCUGGGAUAACACUGACGCUCAUGCACGAAAGCGUGGGGAGCAAACAGGAUUAGAUACCCUGGUAGUCCACGCCCUAAACGAUGUCAACUAGUUGUUG
RNAcentral lists this ribosomal RNA (759 nucleotides) under uncultured bacterium. Its description in RNAcentral is "bacterial SSU rRNA". It matches the Rfam family "Bacterial small subunit ribosomal RNA", at positions 72 to 825 of the family's 1533-position model. The record is from RNAcentral.